Molecule: RNA transcript, 3206 nt
Organism: Suricata suricatta (meerkat)
Lineage: Eukaryota; Metazoa; Chordata; Mammalia; Carnivora; Herpestidae
Gene: CD86
Gene name: CD86 molecule
Exons: 8
Source: RefSeq, a predicted model, not a curated record
UUUGAGUUCUAGCCUCAGCCCUGACAUUAUUUCUUUCUCUACAAAGAGUGUUAGGAAGUUAUGGGGAGCUCACAAAGGGUCCUCAUCAUUUAUUCUUAAUCCUUUAUUUCUGUGUUCCUCGGGAAUGUCACCGGGUUUACACAUCUGGUCUCUGGGAGCUGCAGAGGAUGGGCAUUUGUGACAGCACUAUGGGACUGAGUAACACUCUGUUUGUGAUGGCCCUCCUGCUCUCUGGUGUUGCUUCCAUUGAGAGUCAAGCAUAUUUCAACAAGACUGGAGAACUGCCAUGCCAUUUUACAAACUCUCAAAACAUAAGCCUGGAUGAGUUGGUAGUAUUUUGGCAGGACCAGCAUAAGCUGGUUCUGCAUGAGCUAUUCAAAGGCAAAGAGAACCUUCAAAAUGUUCAUCUCAAAUAUAAGGGCCGCACAAGCUUCGACAAGGACAACUGGACCUUGAGACUCCACAAUGUUCAGAUCAAGGACAAGGGCACAUAUCACUGUUUCAUUCAUUAUAAAGGGCCCAAAGGACUAGUUCCCAUGCACCAAAUGAGUUCGGACCUAUCAGUGAUUGCCAACUUCAGUCAACCUGAAAUAACAGUAACUUCUAAUAGAACAGAAAAUUCUGGCGUCAUUAAUUUGACCUGCUCAUCUAUACACGGUUACCCAGAACCCAAGGAGAUGUAUUUUCAGCUAAACACUGAGAAUUCAACUACUAAGUAUGAUACUGUCAUGAAGAAAUCUCAAAAUAAUGUGACAGAACUAUACAACGUUUCUGUCAGCUUGUCUUUCUCAGUCCCUGAAGCACACAAUGUGAGCGUCUUCUGCGCCCUGAAACUGGAGACACUGGAGAUACUGCUCUCCCUGCCUUUCAAUAUAGAUGCAAAACCUAAGGAACAAGACCCUAAACAAGGCCACUUCCCCUGGAUUGCGGCUGUACUUGUAAUGUUUGUUGUUUUUUGUGGGAUGAUGUCCUUUAAAUCACUGAGGAGAAGGAAGAAGCAGCAGCCUGGCCCCUCUCGUGAAUGUGAAACCCUCAAAAUGAAGAGAAAAGAGAGUGAACAGACCAAUUAAAGAUUCUUUACCUAAUCAAAUCCAAAUAAGCAAUCCUAAGAAUGGCUCAAGGGAAAUAGUACAAUACCAUGCACCUGAGAGAUUUGAUGAAGCCCAGUGUGUUAACACUUUGAAGACAGCCUCAGGCGACAAAUGUCCUACACAUUUUUAAUUAAAGAGUAAAGUCCAUUGUUUAUAUACCUUCCCUUUCAAGGUUUGGGUUUAGCUUUUUCUUGUCUAUUAAUAUUAUUAUUACCAUUAAUAAUAGUGGGGGGUCCUGGACUCCCUCUGAGAAAGCCACCCUGUAAUGCCACUUGCUCCCUAUCCCAGGAGCAGAACUUAACUAUUUCUUUUCAUUUCAGAACACACUUAUGGGCCAACUUCACCUGACUGGCUCGUGGGCUCAGGAAUAAUGUUUAAGACUAACACCUCCUGUUUCACAUUCAGCCUUCUUUUCUUAAUUUUAUAAAUUGUGUUUUACGUAGAACUCCCAAUUACUGGAAUAAUGGCUUUUAUCUAUGAUUAAUUUCAAGGUAGUGCCUCAUUCUAUCUUGUAUAUUUGUGACUGAGCAACUACCUCUUCAGUCUGGGUGGGAGUUAUAUGUUUUAUGGCUUUAUAGUGUUGCUGUUAAUAUCUUGAAACAUAAAGAGGUGUGUCCUAUAAUAAUGUAACUGCUACGCCCUGAGAAAAUCGCUGCUGAGGAGCCCUUGUACCUCUGUGAGGGUCAGUAGGAAAAUGGUGGCUUAGUGUACUGACAAUGAUGAGCAGACCAACUCAAAAUUUGGAAAAUUAAGAACAAUGAAGAUGGAAUCAGCUCUGGAUCCUGGAGCCACUUCUAUCUGAGGAGGAUCCACCUGCUGAACAAGCUAUAAAUAAGCCUUAGCAGAGAACACUGGGUCAAGCACUGUGCAUUGUGAACCCCCUAUUCUUCUUGAAAGAAAUGACUGAGAUGAUGGUCCAGGGCAACUAUGCAAGAGCCAACUGAGAGAUCACAAUACUCAAAAGAGGGAAAAAAAAAAAAGAUCUUGACAACAGAGAUGCACAUGAAUGUUCCUUCCAUCUGUCCAUUCCUCCAACAAACCUCGGGACAAGCAACAGAUGGACAGUCUGUACAAAAGGACUUAAGACAGACAAUAGCUUCUCUGGUGGUGGGUGAGAAGUUCAGAUAAUAAUCAAGUUAUUGUGAUGGCUGCAAGCAGAGCUGAGGAGGGAGAGCUAUCAUCUUGAUAAUGGGAUAAAGGGAAGGAAGCUUAGGACUCUUUCAACUUAUGUCUGAGACACAAAGAGCUAGAGUGGAAUUAGGAGGACCAAAAUGUAAAUCAUCUGGACCCUGACUUAGCUGGCAGGUGCCCUAGGGAGAAAUAAGCUGGCCCAGAGCAAGGAUGGCAAAUUUGUGUCUGAGGACUGUCUAUAUGUCAUUAUAAAUGAUGGAGAAACUGGGAACACAAGAGAACUAUACCAGCCCAGUAGAAAUGAGUCAGAUGACCCUGGCUCCACGGCAGCAUCACUAAGGGAUGAGGCAGCCUCAGUCCAAACCAAGAGAGAACUUUGGGAGGCCCAACCCACAGAAAUAUUUCUCCUUAUUCUACAUAAAGGAACCUAAAAGAUUGUAGACAGCUGUACUAGCCAUGCUUGUCCUUGUAACAUUAUCAUUUGUGUGUUCUGCCCUGCAUUUGCCUUCAUUAGACCGUAAAUAUCUUAUUAGUUCCUAACACGUUUUGUACAGUGAGUUCUUAAAAAAUUUUUUCUUAAAUUGAUUUAAAGUCUACAUUUUCUGCUUCUACUUUAAUGGUACUACUUAACCCUUGUAUUCUGAUAGUACUUCCUCUGUCCUCCUAACAUACUUCAUGCUGCUAAUGGCUUUUGACUCAUCCCAAACCCUCUCCUAUUACCCUUUCCCUAACUAUUGUAUAAUAAAGGGGGGCUUAUAUGAUUCUAUAUGUUUAUGUCAGGCAUGAGACAUAAAAAAUCAAAUUGUUCUUUCUGAGGACAACUGGGAAAUUUGGAGUUAGGGAAGGGACACUUGGUUUUCAAUUUGUAACUUUUUAUAGUCUAUCAUUUUAAAUUAUAUGCUCAUUUGUACAUUAAACAAAAGCUUAACAUAAAACACUCCUUAAAAUACCUUGAUUAUGAAAUAAAUGCAUAUAACUAUUGCA